UACGUAGGGGGCGAGCGUUAUCCGGAUUUACUGGGUGUAAAGGGAGCGCAGGCGGCAGGGCAAGUCAGAUGUGAAAUACCGGGGCCCAACCCCGGGACUGCAUUUGAAACUGUCCGGCUGGAGUGCAGGAGAGGCAGGCGGAAUUCCUAGUGUAGCGGUAAAAUGCGUAGAUAUUAGGAGGAACACCAGUGGCGAAGGCGGCCUGCUGGACUGUAACUGACGCUGAGGCUCGAAAGCGUGGGGAGCAAACAGG
This 253-nucleotide ribosomal RNA is filed under the name uncultured bacterium. RNAcentral describes it as "partial 16S ribosomal RNA". It matches the Rfam family "Bacterial small subunit ribosomal RNA", at positions 524 to 776 of the family's 1533-position model. The record is from RNAcentral.